Daucus carota subsp. sativus is the source of this 1491-nucleotide long non-coding RNA. RefSeq lists it as uncharacterized. The transcript has 4 exons. The record is from RefSeq and is a predicted model, not a curated record. Lineage: Eukaryota; Viridiplantae; Streptophyta; Magnoliopsida; Apiales; Apiaceae.
CCAUAUAUGGCCUACCGCAAUGGUAUGAACGCGAGUGUUGCAAAAUUAUGUUGCAUUAGAGGCACUAAUCCAUAUCUACCGCAACGAUAACCAUUUAUGUUCAUUUCAUGUUGCAAUAGGCGAAUAUAUGUGUUGCAUUGAAUAUUAGUAAAAUAAUUAUUUAUAAUAUGAUAAUAAAAUUUAGAUAAAAUAAAUCUAAAAUAAUUUUUAAUGAUUAAUUGAUAGAUUAUAAUCUAUUUAACAUGAAAACACUAAAUUCUAAAAAAAUUUAAUUCUAAUAAAAUUAGUAAAUUCGAAACUAAUUAAUCAUGUAAUAAUAUUAAAAUUGAAUUUCUUUUCAGAUAUUAAAUUUAUUAAAUAAUUAUAAUUUUUAAUAGUUAAAACUGGAAAUGCAAAUAAAUUAUUAAAAACUAAUAAUAACUAUCAAAUGAUUGGUUUAAUAUUUAACAAAAAAUGUUAAAUAAUUGACAAAAUUAUUUUAGGCGGGCUCAAAAUAUUUGCACCAAGGUAGGCGGGCUUGAAAUUUUUUGUCCAAAUAGAAGCGGAAAAUAUAUUUGGAACAUAAGUCCGUAUUCACAGUGUCUCACACAGUCUUACACGCAUCUUCUUUUACACCAUCUCUUUCUUACUCCUCUCUCUGCUGGUCUCUCAGCUAGGUCUGAAAUAGGGUUGAUCUCAUGGGAUUUUGGUGGAAUUGGAGCAAAAAUCUCUCAAGUCGCCAAGAUUUGAAUCAAAUUUGAGGCUUAUUCAACUAGCUUUGCUUUGUGUUCCUCCUGCGUUUUUUGGAUCUGCGUUUCGUAAACUUAAAGGACUCCAUUUAUCUUUGUUUUGUUAUUAUUAAAAUGGAUAUAUGUGUAUGUAUGUACGAAUACACACAUAUAUAUGAUUUUAUGAUUUUGUAUGUAUUGUUCAUACCGUGCAGAUCAUCAUCGAGGCUGCACAUAUUCGGGCUAAAUGACAAGGACUCGCCACUUAAAAGAAGGGGGAAAUGAGGCGCACGAGGUUGCUGAGAAGUGAGCUAUUUGAAUCUGAUUUUAGUUCUGCCUGACUUUGCUGAAGUGUAUAGCUUUAUUGGUAGUGUUUUCGAUCCAAAUACAAAAGAUCAUGUGCAAAAACUUAAAGAAAUGGUUCCAAUUGAUGUUGAAACGGCAAUGUGUGCAAGAAAGAAAAAAUGGAAGUCAAACCAAGUAUUGGCAGGUAUGUGAAACCAUGGCAUGUCUCAACUGAAAAGACAACCAUUGAGAUAACGGGAAUGGACAGACCAGGUCUGAUUUUCUCAAAUUGCAGCUGCUCUAGUUGAUAUGGAUUGCAAUAUGUCUGCUGCAGUGGCAUGGACACAUAACACUAGAGUAGGAUAAAAUAAAAUAGCACUACAUAGUGUCUGCUAGAUAGAAUAAUAGUACUUUGAUUUGGUUGGAUUUGUUAGAUAGUUUGGUUUGGUUGGAUUUGUUAUUAACUUUUGUUUGUAUGAAAUAAUAGUUUAAUGUUGCA